RNAcentral lists this ribosomal RNA (503 nucleotides) under Vibrio sp. HDEP31. RNAcentral's name for it is "bacterial SSU rRNA". It matches the Rfam family "Bacterial small subunit ribosomal RNA", at positions 380 to 875 of the family's 1533-position model. Lineage: Bacteria; Pseudomonadati; Pseudomonadota; Gammaproteobacteria; Vibrionales; Vibrionaceae. The record is from RNAcentral.
AGCCUGAUGCAGCCAUGCCGCGUGUGUGAAGAAGGCCUUCGGGUUGUAAAGCACUUUCAGUCGUGAGGAAGGCGGGUACGUUAAUAGCGUAUUCGUUUGACGUUAGCGACAGAAGAAGCACCGGCUAACUCCGUGCCAGCAGCCGCGGUAAUACGGAGGGUGCGAGCGUUAAUCGGAAUUACUGGGCGUAAAGCGCAUGCAGGUGGUUCGUUAAGUCAGAUGUGAAAGCCCGGGGCUCAACCUCGGAACAGCAUUUGAAACUGGCGGACUAGAGUACUGUAGAGGGGGGUAGAAUUUCAGGUGUAGCGGUGAAAUGCGUAGAGAUCUGAAGGAAUACCGGUGGCGAAGGCGGCCCCCUGGACAGAUACUGACACUCAGAUGCGAAAGCGUGGGGAGCAAACAGGAUUAGAUACCCUGGUAGUCCACGCCGUAAACGAUGUCUACUUGGAGGUUGUGGCCUUGAGCCGUGGCUUUCGGAGCUAACGCGUUAAGUAGACCGCCUG